GACAGGGGAUGCAAGCGUUACUCGGAAUUACUGGGCGUAAAGCGUCUGCAGGUUUCUUUCCACGUCUGGUGUAAAAGCACUGGAGCUCAACUCCGUGUACGUGCCGGAAACGAGAGAGAUAGAGUCAUUCAGAGGCAUCUGGAAUGUCGUGUGUAGGGGUAAAAUCCGUAGAUCCACGAUGGAACGCCAAAAGCGAAGGCAGGAUGCUGGGGAUGUACUGACACUCAGAGGCGAAAGCGUGGGGAGCAAAGGGG
This 254-nucleotide ribosomal RNA is filed under the name uncultured bacterium. Its description in RNAcentral is "partial 16S ribosomal RNA". It matches the Rfam family "Bacterial small subunit ribosomal RNA", at positions 524 to 776 of the family's 1533-position model. The record is from RNAcentral.